Molecule: ribosomal RNA, 506 nt
Filed under: uncultured bacterium
Lineage: Bacteria
Description: bacterial SSU rRNA
Rfam family: Bacterial small subunit ribosomal RNA
Source: RNAcentral
CUGGCUCAGGAUGAACGCUAGCGGCAGGCUUAACGCAUGCAAGUCGAGGGGCAGCGGGAUGUAGCAAUACAUUGCCGGCGACCGGCGGAUGGGUGCGUAACGCGUAUGCAACCUACCUUAUACAGGGGAAUAACCUUUCGAAAGGGAGACUAACACCCCCAUGGUAUUGAUUUAAGGCAUCUUAGAUUAAUUAAAUAUUUAUAGGUAUAAGAUGGGCAUGCGUAUGAUUAGCUAGUUGGUAAGGUAACGGCUUACCAAGGCGACGAUCAUUAGGGGUUCUGAGAGGAAGGUCCCCACACUGGUACUGAGACACGGACCAGACUCCUACGGGAGGCAGCAGUGAGGAAUAUUGGUCAAUGGGCGCAAGCCUGAACCAGCCAUGCCGCGUGCAAGGAAGACGGCCUUAUGGGUUGUAAACUGCUUUACAUAAGACUAACCGUAUAUUUGCGAAUAUACCUGAAUGUAUUAUGAGAAUAAGGAUCGGCUAACUCCGUGCCAGCCGCCGC